UACACAUGCAAGUCGAGCGGUAACAGAGAGUGAGCUUGCUACUUUGCUGACGAGCGGCGGACGGGUGAGUAAUGCUUGGGAACAUGCCUUGAGGUGGGGGACAACAGUUGGAAACGACUGCUAAUACCGCAUAAUGUCUACGGACCAAAGGGGGCUUCGGCUCUCGCCUUUAGAUUGGCCCAAGUGGGAUUAGCUAGUUGGUGAGGUAAUGGCUCACCAAGGCGACGAUCCCUAGCUGGUUUGAGAGGAUGAUCAGCCACACUGGGACUGAGACACGGCCCAGACUCCUACGGGAGGCAGCAGUGGGGAAUAUUGCACAAUGGGCGCAAGCCUGAUGCAGCCAUGCCGCGUGUGUGAAGAAGGCCUUCGGGUUGUAAAGCACUUUCAGUCAGGAGGAAAGGUUAGUAGUUAAUACCUGCUAGCUGUGACGUUACUGACAGAAGAAGCACCGGCUAACUCCGUGCCAGCAGCCGCGGUAAUACGGAGGGUGCGAGCGUUAAUCGGAAUUACUGGGCGUAAAGCGUACGCAGGCGGUUUGUUAAGCGAGAUGUGAAAGCCCUGGGCUCAACCUGGGAACUGCAUUUCGAACUGGCAAACUAGAGUGUGAUAGAGGGUGGUAGAAUUUCAGGUGUAGCGGUGAAAUGCGUAGAGAUCUGAAGGAAUACCGAUGGCGAAGGCAGCCACCUGGGUCAACACUGACGCUCAUGUACGAAAGCGUGGGGAGCAAACGGGAUUAGAUACCCCGGUAGUCCACGCCGUAAACGAUGUCUACUAGAAGCUCGGGUCCUCGGACUUGUUUUUCAAAGCUAACGCAUUAAGUAGACCGCCUGGGGAGUACGGCCGCAGG
Molecule: ribosomal RNA, 847 nt
Filed under: Pseudoalteromonas aliena
Lineage: Bacteria; Pseudomonadati; Pseudomonadota; Gammaproteobacteria; Alteromonadales; Pseudoalteromonadaceae
Description: bacterial SSU rRNA
Rfam family: Bacterial small subunit ribosomal RNA
Source: RNAcentral